This 558-nucleotide unclassified non-coding RNA is filed under the name Hevea brasiliensis (rubber tree). The record is from RNAcentral. Lineage: Eukaryota; Viridiplantae; Streptophyta; Magnoliopsida; Malpighiales; Euphorbiaceae.
GCGCGUUUUCCAGCAGGAUAGAAACCUGUCCUAGAAGCAACAAUUGUUGUUGGCUUGCCACUGCAGAUUCGGACAUCUAUUUGGAAAAAAUCAUCUUCUGUUUUAUCCUCAAGGAAUGGUCGACUUGAUCUCCUAAUAUAUUGGAUCGGAGGAGUGAGAUGAGCAAACGAGAAGAAAUCAUAGAACUGUCCUAGUCGCGGCGGAGGACACAUCAUCGCGGGGUCACCUUUCUCCGCCGCUUCACCGGCAUCGACGCCGUCACAUACGGCGGCGACGCCAUCUGGCUUUGACGGUUUAGCGCCGGCCUUUUUCGGUUCCUGAGGUUUGGUCUUGCCUGAUUUAGGUUCGGAGAGUGCAUUUUCUGAACCGGGUUCAGUACCGGUUCGAUUGGUGGGUUUGGUCGAAGAAGAUGAACCGGCGAAUGAAGUGGUGCAUGCAACUAUGUCGAGAAGUCUUCUAAUAUGCGCCACUGACUGUUCUUCUGUAUAAUCCUCUUCGACUAAGCUGAGGUGGCACGGUUUUAGCGACACAAUUUCCACCGUAUCUUUUAGCCUUGUU